CAGUUGUAAGUAAAUAAAGAUUAUGAAAGCAAAAAAUUCUGGCGGUAUUUUAAGCUUUUCAGAGGAAUUUGCUCUUUAAUGGAUAAAACACCUAAAUCUUACUUAAAUUUGUUAAUUCAAUUUGUAUACCACUAUAAAAACAAUUUAUAACUUUAAUUGUUGAUAUUUAUUAAAUUAAAAUAUAUUAAGUCAAGGUGCAGUAAAAAUUUAAGGAUGAAGUGAAUUACAUUACUUUUUAGAGAAAUAAAUUUAAAAUAAUAUUUAGGAUUUGAAAGUAAAAUUAAAAUAUAAUGUUAAUUUGAAUUAAGCUCUAAAAUAUGUACAUAUCGCCCGUCACUCUUUAUUAAGAUAAGUCGUUACAUAG
This 364-nucleotide ribosomal RNA is filed under the name Rhipicephalus turanicus. RNAcentral describes it as "partial 12S ribosomal RNA". The record is from RNAcentral. Lineage: Eukaryota; Metazoa; Arthropoda; Arachnida; Ixodida; Ixodidae.